ACGCGAAAGGGACUUCGGUCCUGAGUAAAGUGGCGCACGGGUGAGUAACGCGUGGAUAAUCUACCCGAUGGACCGGGAUAACAUUUCGAAAGGGGUGCUAAUACCGGAUAAGACCACGGAGUCUCUGGGCUCUGCGGUAAAAGGUGGGGACCUUCGGGCCUACCGUCAUAGGAUGAGUCCGCGUACCAUUAGCUAGUUGGUGGGGUAAGAGCCUACCAAGGCGACGAUGGUUAGCUGGUCUGAGAGGAUGAUCAGCCACACUGGAACUGAGACACGGUCCAGACUCCUACGGGAGGCAGCAGUGGGGAAUUUUGCGCAAUGGGGGAAACCCUGACGCAGCAACGCCGCGUGAGUGAUGAAGGCCUUCGGGUCGUAAAGCUCUGUCAGGGGGGAAGAAAUGCAUGGGAGCUAAUAUCUUCUAUGCUUGACGGUACCCUCAAAGGAAGCACCGGCUAACUCGUGC
RNAcentral lists this ribosomal RNA (463 nucleotides) under bacterium enrichment culture clone Geo257_782_14.fa. Its description in RNAcentral is "bacterial SSU rRNA". It matches the Rfam family "Bacterial small subunit ribosomal RNA", at positions 66 to 508 of the family's 1533-position model. The record is from RNAcentral.